AACGAACGCUGGCGGCAUGCCUAACACAUGCAAGUCGAACGAGACCUUCGGGUCUAGUGGCGCACGGGUGCGUAACGCGUGGGAACCUGCCCUUAGGUUCGGAAUAACUCCCCGAAAGGGGUGCUAAUACCGGAUAAUGUCUUCGGACCAAAGAUUUAUCGCCUUUGGAUGGGCCCGCGUUGGAUUAGCUAGUUGGUAGGGUAAAAGCCUACCAAGGCGACGAUCCAUAGCUGGUCUGAGAGGAUGAUCAGCCACACUGGGACUGAGACACGGCCCAGACUCCUACGGGAGGCAGCAGUGGGGAAUAUUGGACAAUGGGCGAAAGCCUGAUCCAACAAUGCCGCGUGAGUGAUGAAGGCCUUAGGGUUGUAAAGCUCUUUUACCCGGGAUGAUAAUGACAGUACCGGGAGAAUAAGUUCCGGCUAACUCCGUG
This 433-nucleotide ribosomal RNA is filed under the name uncultured bacterium. RNAcentral describes it as "partial 16S ribosomal RNA". It matches the Rfam family "Bacterial small subunit ribosomal RNA", at positions 29 to 507 of the family's 1533-position model. The record is from RNAcentral.